GACGAACGCUGGCGGCGUGCUUAACACAUGCAAGUCGAACGGAAAGGCCCUGCUUUUGUUGGGUGCUCGAGUGGCGAACGGGUGAGUAACACGUGAGUAACCUGCCCUUGACUUUGGGAUAACUUCAGGAAACUGGGGCUAAUACCGGAUAGGAGCUCCUGCUGCAUGGUGGGGGUUGGAAAGUUUCGGCGGUUGGGGAUGGACUCGCGGCUUAUCAGCUUGUUGGUGGGGUAGUGGCUUACCAAGGCUUUGACGGGUAGCCGGCCUGAGAGGGUGAGCGGCCACAUUGGGACUGAGAUACGGCCCAGACUCCUACGGGAGGCAGCAGUGGGGAAUAUUGCACAAUGGGCGGAAGCCUGAUGCAGCAACGCCGCGUGCGGGAUGACGGCCUUCGGGUUGUAAACCGCUUUCGCCUGUGACGAAGCGUGAGUGACGGUAAUGGGUAAAGAAGCACCGGCUAACUACGUG
This 468-nucleotide ribosomal RNA is filed under the name uncultured bacterium. RNAcentral's name for it is "partial 16S ribosomal RNA". It matches the Rfam family "Bacterial small subunit ribosomal RNA", at positions 28 to 507 of the family's 1533-position model. The record is from RNAcentral.